RNAcentral lists this ribosomal RNA (502 nucleotides) under uncultured Glomeromycotina. RNAcentral's name for it is "partial small subunit ribosomal RNA". It matches the Rfam family "Eukaryotic small subunit ribosomal RNA", at positions 591 to 1092 of the family's 1831-position model. Lineage: Eukaryota; Fungi; Glomeromycota. The record is from RNAcentral.
CCAAUAGCGUAUAUUAAAGUUGUUGCAGUUAAAAAGCUCGUAGUUGAACUUCGGGGUUUACUCAUUGGUCAGGCUUAAUUGUCUGUACUGGUGAGCUGAAUCUCUACCUUCUGAGGAACUUUCAUGCCAUUUAUUUGGUGUGAUGGGAAAUCAGGACUGUUACUUUGAAAAAAUUAGAGUGUUUAAAGCAGGCUAACGUCUGAAUACAUUAGCAUGGAAUAAUGAAAUAGGACGGAUUGAUUCUAUUUCGUUGGUUUCUAGGAUCACCGUAAUGAUUAAUAGGGAUAGUUGGGGGCAUUAGUAUUCAAUUGUCAGAGGUGAAAUUCUCGGAUUUAUUGAAGACUAACUACUGCGAAAGCAUUUGCCAAGGAUGUUUUCAUUAAUCAAGAACGAAAGUUAGGGGAUCGAAGACGAUCAGAUACCGUCGUAGUCUUAACCAUAAACUAUGCCGACUAGGGAUCGGACGAAGUUAAUUUUAUAAUGACGCGUUCGGCACCUUACG